This 449-nucleotide ribosomal RNA is filed under the name Quadrulella symmetrica. RNAcentral describes it as "SSU rRNA". It matches the Rfam family "Eukaryotic small subunit ribosomal RNA", at positions 1024 to 1461 of the family's 1831-position model. The record is from RNAcentral. Lineage: Eukaryota; Tubulinea; Elardia; Arcellinida; Hyalospheniidae.
GUCGCACUAUAACUUUGUCGCCCAAGGGGUAGUGGUAGUUACAUGAUGACACCCCUAUAACUUUGUGAGAAAUCACAAGGAUUUGGACUCUGGGGGAAGUAUGGUCGCAAGGCUGAAACUUAAAGGAAUUGACGGAAGGGCACCACCAGGAGUGGAACCUGCGGCUUAAUUUGACUCAACACGGGGAAACUUACCAGGUCCAGACACAGUGAGGAUUGACAGAUUGAUAGCUCUUUCUUGAUUUUGUGGAAAGUGGUGCAUGGCCGUUUUUAGUUGGUGGAUUGAUUUGUCUGGUUAAUUCCGUUAACGAACGAGACCUAAACCUACUAACUAGUUAAUGGUAACUUGGACUCCAUAAUAAAUUUUCAUAUGGAGACCUCGAAAUUUAUCCAAACUUCUUAGAGGGACUCUUUAUACUUAGUGAAUGGAAGUUUUAGGCAACAACAGGU